Molecule: long non-coding RNA, 407 nt
Filed under: Rattus norvegicus (Norway rat)
Lineage: Eukaryota; Metazoa; Chordata; Mammalia; Rodentia; Muridae
Description: long non-coding RNA NONRATT011272
Source: RNAcentral
AUCAGAAGCCAUCAACAAUUCUCUGCUCCUGGAGCCUCCAUCUACUGCCUGCUGAAGUUCUGCUGCAGGGAGCAGCCCUACUCCCUGAACCUGCUGGAGCGCUGUCUACGGAGCUGCUAUCAGGCUGAGACAUGGCAGUCUGUGGACCUCAUCACAGCACCCCAGGGCCAUGGGCAUCUUGGUGGAUACACUGAAAAGAGGUACAAAUAUGUUGUCAAGAACAAGGCCGCCUCUACUCUUUCCACCUGCCUACACAGCUGCCGUGUACAUGGCCGGAAUUGAUGGGGAGGAGGAGCAUGCUAAUGCCUUGAAGAUCCUGCUGGAGAUGGGCGAGUUCUUUCAGGUCCAGGAUGACUACCUUGAUCUCUUUGCAGACCCCAGUGUGACCGGAAAGGUCAGCACUGACA